RNA transcript from Zea mays, 1597 nucleotides. It is a transcript of the gene named AMP-binding superfamily pseudogene, with no coding region annotated. NCBI's taxonomy places the organism in Eukaryota, Viridiplantae, Streptophyta, Magnoliopsida, Poales, Poaceae. The transcript is spliced from 2 exons. The record is from RefSeq and is marked validated.
AACAACCCAACAAUUCAAGCAGCAACCCUCGACGAAUAUACAUUUUACAAACCACUCCCUUACAAGCCCAGUCCUCUCCUCCGUCAAAUUUGGCACAUUUAAGCAACUAAUUUGCAAUUUCCCACCAAAAUGCUGCAUCAUCACCUUUGUUGCGAAGACGACAAGUAUAGUAAGCUGUAAGCACCGGACACUGCAAAAAUCUUGCACACGCAAACCGCAGCCAAGCAAGCGUUCCCCUCCCUGUGAUCGCGAUGGGGUCCACCGAGAAGCAGGAGCCGGAGGCGUCGCCGGAGAUCAUCUUCCGGUCGAAGCUCCCGGACAUCGCCAUCACCAACACCCUCCCGCUGCACCGCUACUGCUUCGAGCGGCUCCCCGAGGUGGGCGAGAGGCCCUGCCUCAUCGACGGCGGCACGGGCGCCGUGCUCACGUACGCCGAGGUGGACCGCCUGACCCGGCGCCUGGCCGCGGCGCUCCGGCGCGCGCCGCUGGGGCUCGGGCGCGGCUCGGUGGCCAUGAACCUCAUGCUGAACUCGGCGGAGUUCGUGCUCUCCUUCUUCGCCGCGUCGCGCGUGGGCGCCGCGGUCACCACCGCCAACCCGAUGUCGACGCCGCACGAGAUCGCCGGGCAGAUCGCGGCCUCCGGCGCCACCGUUGUGUUCACCGAGUCCAUGGCCGCGGACAAGCUCCCCGCCAUGGGCGACAAGCUCACGGUCGUCCUCAUCGACGCGCGCCGCGACGGGUGCCUCCACUUCUGGGAUGACGUCAUGGCCAGCGUCCCCGACGAGGAGGCCGGCGGCGGCGAGCAAGACUUGGACUUCGACCCCGACGACGUGGUGGCGCUGCCCUACUCGUCCGGCACGACGGGGCUGCCCAAGGGCGUGAUGCUGACGCACCGCAGUCUGAGCACGAGCGUGGCGCAGCAGGUGGACGGCGACAACCCCAACAUCGGCCUGACCGCCGCCGACGUGGUCCUGUGCUCGCUCCCCAUGUUCCACAUCUACUCGCUCAACACCAUCCUGAUGUGCGGGCUGCGCGUGGGCGCCGCCAUCGUGGUGGUGCGCCGCUUCGACCUGCGCAGGAUGAUGGAGCUGGUGGAGCGCCACCGGAUCACCGUCGCCCCGCUGGUGCCGCCCAUCGUGGUCGCCGUGGCCAAGAGCGACGAGGCGGCGGCGCACGACCUGUCGUCCGUCCGGAUGGUGCUCUCCGGCGCCGCGCCCAUGGGGAAGGACAUCGAGGACGCGUUCGUGGCCAAGCUCCCCGGCGCCGUGCUCGGACAGGUCAUUUUCAGAGGUACGUACUGGUUCAGAUUCUGGAGACUUCUACAGAAGGAGGAAUCACAUCAACAAAUCCUCGAUGUCUGUCAAGCGUUGGAAGUGGUGGCGAUGGAAGUCUUUGCAAAUCAUGGAUGGCGCUCAAAUGCAAGAAUUGAGGAUGCCUAGAGUUACCUACAUUCUAGUGAUUUUGCUUCUUUAAGUUAGUUUCAUUAUCUAUGCAACGUUUCUCGGAUGUAAUAAUUGUCUUGUGUGGGCUGUACGCAUUACCAUGCUAAAGCCGGAACUCUUGUUUCCAUAAUCAAAAAAAAAAAAGUUCGGUUGUC